Molecule: ribosomal RNA, 776 nt
Filed under: uncultured Neocallimastigales
Lineage: Eukaryota; Fungi; Neocallimastigomycota; Neocallimastigomycetes; Neocallimastigales
Description: partial large subunit ribosomal RNA
Rfam family: Eukaryotic large subunit ribosomal RNA
Source: RNAcentral
CGUCUAUAUACGUAUAGCAUAUCAAUAAGCGGAGGAAAAGAAACUAACUAGGAUUCCCUUAGUAACGGCGAGUGAAGCGGGAAGAGCUCAAAUUUGAAAUCUUCAAGGUUUUACCUUGACGAAUUGUAGUUUAAAGAAGUGUUUUCUGUUGGAGUUUUGGUAAAAGUUCUUUGGAAUAGGACAUCAUAGAGGGUGAGAAUCCCGUAUUUGACCAUUAUUUCCAACUUUGUGAUACACUUUCAAAGAGUCGGAUUGUUUGGGAAUGCAGUCCAAAAUGGGUGGUAAAUUUCAUCUAAAGCUAAAUACUGGCGAGAGACCGAUAGCGAACAAGUACCGUGAGGGAAAGAUGAAAAGAACUUUGAAAAGAGAGUUAAACAGUACGUGAAAUUGUCAAAAGGGAAGCGUUUGACACCAGUGUUGUUUUCUCGAAAAUCAAUUAAAAAUGGCGGGAUUUUGUGUUGUAUUGACUUUAUCAGCUUUCUGCACUUUUUUCCUGAUCUUUUUUAAUGCACUUUUCGUUUAACAAGUCAACAUCAAUUUCUUUUGUUGCUAAAAGAGUCAUUGGAAGGUGGCUCUCUUUUCGGAGAAAGUGUUUAUAGCCUUUGCCUCUAGCAAUCGGAGAGAUUGAGGUCUGCAGCGUAGAUCCUUCGGGGUUAGAUACAUUUGUGCUAAGCUAUAGCCUUUCAUAGACAACUUGUUGACUAUGAUCAGUCAUGUAGCUUACUCGCUUAUGUCAUUUUACCUACGCUUAGGAUGUUGACGAUCAGCUGAGCGCG